GUUUGAUCUUGGUUCAGGACGAACGCUGGCGGCAUGCCUAAUACAUGCAAGUCGAGCGGACUUGAAGAGAAGCUUGCUUCUCUGAUGGUUAGCGGCGGACGGGUGAGUAACACGUAGGCAACCUGCCCUCAAGCUUGGGACAACUACCGGAAACGGUAGCUAAUACCGAAUACUUGCUUCCUUCGCCUGAAGGGAGCUGGAAAGACGGAGCAAUCUGUCACUUGAGGAUGGGCCUGCGGCGCAUUAGCUAGUUGGUGAGGUAACGGCUCACCAAGGCGACGAUGCGUAGCCGACCUGAGAGGGUGAUCGGCCACACUGGGACUGAGACACGGCCCAGACUCCUACGGGAGGCAGCAGUAGGGAAUCUUCCGCAAUGGGCGAAAGCCUGACGGAGCAAUGCCGCGUGAGUGAUGAAGGUUUUCGGAUCGUAAAGCUCUGUUGCCAGGGAAGAACGUCCUUGAGAGUAACUGCUCAAGGAGUGACGGUACCUGAGAAGAAAGCCCCGGCUAA
Molecule: ribosomal RNA, 510 nt
Filed under: Paenibacillus illinoisensis
Lineage: Bacteria; Bacillati; Bacillota; Bacilli; Caryophanales; Paenibacillaceae
Description: bacterial SSU rRNA
Rfam family: Bacterial small subunit ribosomal RNA
Source: RNAcentral